GUCUUUUUGAAUUUUUUUUAAAGUCUAACCUGCCCACUGAAUUUUUUUUAAAUGGCCGCAGUAUACUAACUGUGCAAAGGUAGCAUAAUCAUUAGUCUUUUAAUUGAAGGCUGGUAUGAAUGGUUGGACGAGAUAUUAACUGUUUCAUAAAAAUUUAUAUUAGAAUUUUAUUUUUUAGUCAAAAAGCUAAAAUUUAUUUAAAAGACGAGAAGACCCUAUAAAUCUUUAUAUUUAGUUUAUUAUAAUUUUAUAGAUUAUUUUUGUUAUAAUAAUCAAUAAUAUUUUAUUGGGGUGAUAUUAAAAUUUAAUAAACUUUUAAUUGUUUAAAUCAUUAAUUUAUGAAUAAUUGAUCCGUUAUUAACGAUUAAAAAAAUAAGUUACUUUAGGGAUAACAGCGUAAUUUUUUUGGAGAGUUCAUAUCGAUAAAAAAGAUUGCGACCUCGAUGUUGGAUUAAGAUAUAAUUUUAGGUGUAGCCGCUUAAAUUUUAAGUCUGUUCGACUUUUAAAUUCUU
This 512-nucleotide ribosomal RNA is filed under the name Scathophaga soror. RNAcentral describes it as "partial 16S ribosomal RNA". The stretch from base 388 to 512 matches the Rfam family "Bacterial large subunit ribosomal RNA", at positions 2473 to 2597 of the family's 2925-position model. The record is from RNAcentral. Lineage: Eukaryota; Metazoa; Arthropoda; Insecta; Diptera; Scathophagidae.